AUGGUCCGCCGCCCAGCUAGCUACCUCCGGCGGCCAACCACCGGAGCCGCGACGGCCUGGAUCCGACCUCGCCUCCUCCACACGAGCCCCCUUUCCCCACCUCCCUCCACCAUCUUUCCUCCUAGCCCCUCAGCUUCCUCCACAUCUGGUGGCCCGAUUAGCACCAGAUCCUGCCGAUGCCGACGGAGAUGGCCGCCUCCAACCACCACGGCCCGGAUCCCUGGCUCUCUCCAUCGUUCUCUGACUCUCGCCGACGUCCACCGGGAUCGACCUCCUGACUUAGCCGUGCGGUUAAGUAGCAAAGGGAGGUUCGCUGGCUUCCGUCGAGCAGUUCGUUGCACCUCCCCACCGCUAGUCACGCAUCCUCCGCCGUCGCAGUGGAGCAGCGCCACCACCGUGGCCGUGUCCAUGCGCCGGGACGCCGAGGCUAGUGCGGCCAGGGCCUGGAGGUCGCCACUUCUACCGCGCGGGGCUCCUUGUCCCGCUCCUCCCCUGCCCACCUUCUCCCAAUGCGGCCCGCCCCAUCGCGCCGCCACGUCGCCCCCAGAUCCGAGCGACCUCUCCUGCUCCGGUCCAGCGGCCACCGCCAUGUCCGCCGCGCCCUGGGAACGGAUCUGGCCGCCCGUGCAGCAGAUCUGGCCAGCCCCGGGCAAAUCCCUCCUUCCCACACUCCAGCAGCACGUGGCCCUACCACGCCCGCCGUUGACCGUCGAGAUGGAGCAGGCCGAGCGUCGCGGGCAUGGCCACAUGGCCUCCUUCACUUCCAGCCAUCCCUUAGCCACCUACAACCGUGCGCGUGGGGUUGCCAUGCAUUUCAGUGCAGCUCAGCGACCGUGGAAGUGCAGCUCGAAGGCGCGCGUGAUGAGGUUCAGUGCACCUCAAACACCAUUGACCUCCUCUCCUACAUCUGUGUGGGCAUGCGGUUUGCCGGCGCGGUGCAGUGUGCUGCACUGGUUCUGGUGA
Molecule: ribosomal RNA, 963 nt
Filed under: Triticum aestivum (bread wheat)
Lineage: Eukaryota; Viridiplantae; Streptophyta; Magnoliopsida; Poales; Poaceae
Description: partial small subunit ribosomal RNA
Source: RNAcentral